This 496-nucleotide ribosomal RNA is filed under the name uncultured bacterium. Its description in RNAcentral is "partial 16S ribosomal RNA". It matches the Rfam family "Bacterial small subunit ribosomal RNA", at positions 28 to 506 of the family's 1533-position model. The record is from RNAcentral.
GAUGAACGCUGGCGGCGUGCCUAAUACAUGCAAGUCGAGCGAACAGAUGAGGAGCUUGCUCCUCUGACGUUAGCGGCGGACGGGUGAGUAACACGUGGAUAACCUACCUAUAAGACUGGGAUAACUUCGGGAAACCGGAGCUAAUACCGGAUAAUAUAUUGAGCCGCAUGGUUCAAUAGUGAAAGACGGUUUUGCUGUCACUUAUAGAUGGAUCCGCGCCGCAUUAGCUAGUUGGUAAGGUAACGGCUUACCAAGGCAACGAUGCGUAGCCGACCUGAGAGGGUGAUCGGCCACACUGGAACUGAGACACGGUCCAGACUCCUACGGGAGGCAGCAGUAGGGAAUCUUCCGCAAUGGGCGAAAGCCUGACGGAGCAACGCCGCGUGAGUGAUGAAGGUCUUCGGAUCGUAAAACUCUGUUAUUAGGGAAGAACAAAUGUGUAAGUAACUAUGCACGUCUUGACGGUACCUAAUCAGAAAGCCACGGCGAACUACGU